RNAcentral lists this microRNA precursor (96 nucleotides) under Prunus dulcis (almond). RNAcentral describes it as "sRNA ncRNA". Lineage: Eukaryota; Viridiplantae; Streptophyta; Magnoliopsida; Rosales; Rosaceae. The record is from RNAcentral.
UCUUCUGCAUGCACCUUGAUAGAUGUUUCACUACUGUGAGGUGACACUUUGGCUCAUUUACAGUAGUGGAACAUCUAUCAAGGUGCAUGCAGAAGU